GUUAUUGGCUACCAAGAAGAACUAGGAUAUAUUUAUCUUACAUUGAAUAUACGUAUGAACGAUUUCCUGUAAUGGCUUUGAUCCCUGAAAUAUCAAGUAUUAUUCUAGUUCAAUAUGAUAUUGCACCUUUGUCGUAGAGAAAUAAAUCAAUGGAGAUGAUAAAAUAAAAUGUUAUACGAUGUCCGUUCUGAAGAAAUUUGAUUAUCAUAAUUUUAAUGAAAAUAAUAUAAUAUACUUGAUGAAAAAUAGCUACAAGUCAUUCAGUCAAGCCGUUUUCCCAUCAUUGUGCAAUAUUCGAUCUUUACGUCUGGAAAUAAAGGUUUUCCAUUCUCGUCA
Cephus cinctus (wheat stem sawfly) is the source of this 336-nucleotide long non-coding RNA. RefSeq lists it as uncharacterized. The transcript has 2 exons. NCBI's taxonomy places the organism in Eukaryota, Metazoa, Arthropoda, Insecta, Hymenoptera, Cephidae. The record is from RefSeq and is a predicted model, not a curated record.